Molecule: long non-coding RNA, 682 nt
Organism: Hippocampus zosterae (dwarf seahorse)
Lineage: Eukaryota; Metazoa; Chordata; Actinopteri; Syngnathiformes; Syngnathidae
Exons: 2
Source: RefSeq, a predicted model, not a curated record
ACUUCCUUUCAGGUACGUCGCAAGCCACUCACCUGUUUGUUUGGUUGACGUCCUGCUUGCAACUGUUGCCUCAUGCUGAUUGCUAGCCGCUGUGGAAUGCGACCCGGACAGACGUUGUUGGGAGCGAGCAUUGACCUGAGGUAAUCUUAUUUACGUUCAUAUCAACAUGAUGUUAUUCAGUUUUUUUCCAAAUGGUUUUGAGUUACUUUAUUUCCAUUUAGUACAAUGCUGUUGCUUAUUUAGUCAUUUGAAUUAGUAGUUGACAUUCAUUUGCCAAUGCACACUUGAUGUCUGCACACGUUGUGCAGAAAGUGUGACGCAUUGAUUCAUGGUGCAAUAUUUGCAAUGCAAUGAAAUUCAAAAUUACAUGAAAUUUGAAUGUACGUCCACUGAAAACUGAAAUGAAUAAUGUUUCUAAUCCUAUUCCAAUUUGUAUGCAAAUAUCAAGGGAGUUGAUGGUGAACGGCCAUAAAUUAAGCUUGAAGAACUCCCAACGGCAACAAUAGUCAGACAAUGCGCUAGGAGGCCUUGCAACCUGCUCUCCCUUGAAACAUCAAGCAAAACCACUUAAUAAACUGAACAUCCUAAUGAUAUUUGCAUGCACUAUGUGGAUAUGCAGGACUCUCAAUUGGCAGGGGGUCUUGGUUUUAUGAAUUUGUUUGUAUAAACAAUGUAGAGAUUG